GCAGAUGUAGCUCAGUUGGUAGAGCGCUUGCCUCUCAUGCACAAGGCCCUGGGUUCAAUCCCCAGCACCACUA
RNAcentral lists this transfer RNA (73 nucleotides) under Ictidomys tridecemlineatus (thirteen-lined ground squirrel). Its description in RNAcentral is "Spermophilus tridecemlineatus (thirteen-lined ground squirrel) tRNA". It matches the Rfam family "tRNA". From Rfam's summary of the family: Transfer RNA (tRNA) molecules are approximately 80 nucleotides in length. Their secondary structure includes four short double-helical elements and three loops (D, anti-codon, and T loops). The record is from Rfam by way of RNAcentral. Lineage: Eukaryota; Metazoa; Chordata; Mammalia; Rodentia; Sciuridae.